AACUCAACAAAAACAGAAUCUGUCAAAAACAGACGAGUCUGUAGCAAUCUGUAUACUUCGUAUACUUAUGGUACCUCACAAAUUCUGAAAAUGUACUACUCUCUGGGAAAAAUUCAUAUCAACCAGAAGCAAAACGAAUCAACUCAAAAUCUCUUUCUGAAUAAAAAUGAAAAAUAAUCUCGUGAGCGAAAAGUUUCUGUCUGUUUCCAGCAGGAUCAAACAACCAUCACCAAGACUAGUCAUAAAGGUUUUGCUUGGCUCAAACACAAAAAGAAACACA
RNAcentral lists this long non-coding RNA (280 nucleotides) under Hordeum vulgare. Its description in RNAcentral is "long non-coding RNA (HVUL_LNC019644)". The record is from RNAcentral. Lineage: Eukaryota; Viridiplantae; Streptophyta; Magnoliopsida; Poales; Poaceae.